AGAUCAUGGUGUGGGCGUUUCCUUAGUAGGCCAUUGUAUCUCUUCCAUGCCUCAUAAAGUGACUCUCUAGCUUGUUGUUCAAAAUUAGCUAUGGCCUUCUUCAACUU
Small nucleolar RNA from Lactuca sativa (garden lettuce), 107 nucleotides. The record is from RefSeq and is a predicted model, not a curated record. Lineage: Eukaryota; Viridiplantae; Streptophyta; Magnoliopsida; Asterales; Asteraceae.